This 523-nucleotide long non-coding RNA is filed under the name Homo sapiens (human). RNAcentral describes it as "HSALNT0093999". Lineage: Eukaryota; Metazoa; Chordata; Mammalia; Primates; Hominidae. The record is from RNAcentral.
CAGGCUGGAGUGGAAUGGCACAAUCUUGGCGCACUGCAACCUCCACCUCCCAGGUUCAAGUGAUUCUCCUGCCUCAACCUUCCAAGUAGCUGGAAUUACAGGCAUGUGCCACUACACCCAGGAUGGAGGGAUUUGCAAGUUGAUGGCAGAUGGAAGGCAUUAUUGAGGCAGAAAUGGAUGAAAAUCAAACCUGCUCUUGAUAUACACAGCUGAUCUGGGCACUGAGUGAAGUCUUAUUUCCUGUCUAUGAAAGCAGACACUUGAACCAAUCACUCCUUUCUUCAUACAAUGUGUGUGCACAGAAUCAAAUUUGCUGAAAUCUGGAAUUUGGGACUUAAGUUCUGAUUCUUUUUUAAUGUAAAUGGAAUGAAGGCAUUUGAAGAUUGAUGCAAGAAUAUACAUGUAGGAAUAAUUGCCUAAGUGGCCACAUUUGAUUUAACAUAGACAAAACCUUCUGCUUUGUAUUAUAUUAAAACAUUUACCACACAUUGCCUCAAGGAUUAAAAAUAAUAUAACUCCUGCC